Molecule: ribosomal RNA, 1217 nt
Filed under: uncultured Rhizaria
Lineage: Eukaryota
Description: SSU rRNA
Rfam family: Eukaryotic small subunit ribosomal RNA
Source: RNAcentral
CGGUAAUUCCAGCUCCAAUAGCGUAUACUAAAGUUGUUGCAGUUAAAAAGCUCGUAGUUGGAUUUCUGCGGGGACGGAGCGGCCGGACGCAACUUGCGUCUCGAGCUAGCGCUUUCCCCGCAUCCUGCCGCGAACCGUGCUACCAUUAGUUUGGUGGCGCUGGGGAUCGGCUCGAUUACUUUGAGAAAAAUAGAGUGUUCAAAGCAGGCCACACGCCUUGAAUAAGUUAGUAUGGAAUAAUGACUAAGGACUUCGGUUCUAUUUUGUUGGUGUUCGGGACUGAAGUAAUGAUUGAUAGGGACAGUUGGGGCGGUCUGUAUUCCAAAGCGAGAGGUGAAAUUCUUAGACCUUCGGAAGACAAACAGCUGCGAAAGCGUUCCGCAAGGAUGUUCCCUUUGAUCAAGAACGAAAGUUGGGGGAUCGAAGACGAUCAGAUACCGUCGUAGUCUCAACUAUAAACUAUACCAGCUAGGGAUCGGUCAACGUUUAAUUAUUCGACUUGAUCGGCACCUUAUGAGAAAUCAAAGCAUCUGGGUUCCGGGGGGAGUAUGGUCGCAAGGCUGAAACUUAAAGGAAUUGACGGAAGGGCACCACCAGCCGUGGAGCCUGUGGCUUAAUUUGACUCAACACGGGAAAACUUACCAGGUCCAGACAUAGUAAGGAUUGACAGAUUGAUAGCUCUUUCUUGAUUCUGUGGGUGGUGGUGCAUGGCCGUUCUUAGUUGGUGGAGUGAUUUGUCUGGUUAAUUCCGUUAACGAACGAGACCCCAGCCUGCUAAAUAGCGCGGUUGAGCUUUGCUCGAUGCGAGCUUCUUAGAGGGACUAUGAUGCGCGAUAGCACAUGGAAGUUUGGGGCAAUACCAGGUCUGUGAUGCCCUUAGAUGUUCUGGUCCGCACACGGCCUACACUGGCGCCUGCAACGAGCAUAUCAGCUGGCCCGAGAGGGUCUUGGCUAAUCUUUUGAACCGGCGCCGUGCUUGGGAUUGACCUUUGCAAUUGUUGGUCAUGCAACGAGGAAUGCCUUGUAAACGCGAGUCAUCAGCUCGCAUUGAAUACGUCCCUGCCCUUUGUACACACCGCCCGUCGCUCCUACCGAUGAAUGUUCCGAUGAAAUUUUCGGAGAGCGCCAGAGAACGGGGCUCCGCCUUGCAGAUCUGGAGGCUCAAAGUCACUUAAAUCUGAACAUUUCGAGGAAGGAGAAGUCGUAACAAGGUAACC